GUUAAGCGACUAAGCGUACACGGUGGAUGCCCUGGCAGUCAGAGGCGAUGAAGGACGUGCUAAUCUGCGAUAAGCGUCGGUAAGGUGAUAUGAACCGUUAUAACCGGCGAUUUCCGAAUGGGGAAACCCAGUGUGUUUCGACACACUAUCAUUAACUGAAUCCAUAGGUUAAUGAGGCGAACCGGGGGAACUGAAACAUCUAAGUACCCCGAGGAAAAGAAAUCAACCGAGAUUCCCCCAGUAGCGGCGAGCGAACGGGGAGCAGCCCAGAGCCUGAAUCAGUAUGUGUGUUAGUGGAAGCGUCUGGAAAGGCGCGCGAUACAGGGUGACAGCCCCGUACACAAAAAUGCACAUGCUGUGAGCUCGAUGAGUAGGGCGGGACACGUGGUAUCCUGUCUGAAUAUGGGGGGACCAUCCUCCAAGGCUAAAUACUCCUGACUGACCGAUAGUGAACCAGUACCGUGAGGGAAAGGCGAAAAGAACCCCGGCGAGGGGAGUGAAAAAGAACCUGAAACCGUGUACGUACAAGCAGUGGGAGCACGCUUAGGCGUGUGACUGCGUACCUUUUGUAUAAUGGGUCAGCGACUUAUAUUCUGUAGCAAGGUUAACCGAAUAGGGGAGCCGAAGGGAAACCGAGUCUUAACUGGGCGUUAAGUUGCAGGGUAUAGACCCGAAACCCGGUGAUCUAGCCAUGGGCAGGUUGAAGGUUGGGUAACACUAACUGGAGGACCGAACCGACUAAUGUUGAAAAAUUAGCGGAUGACUUGUGGCUGGGGGUGAAAGGCCAAUCAAACCGGGAGAUAGCUGGUUCUCCCCGAAAGCUAUUUAGGUAGCGCCUCGUGAAUUCAUCUCCGGGGGUAGAGCACUGUUUCGGCAAGGGGGUCAUCCCGACUUACCAACCCGAUGCAAACUGCGAAUACCGGAGAAUGUUAUCACGGGAGACACACGGCGGGUGCUAACGUCCGUCGUGAAGAGGGAAACAACCCAGACCGCCAGCUAAGGUCCCAAAGUCAUGGUUAAGUGGGAAACGAUGUGGGAAGGCCCAGACAGCCAGGAUGUUGGCU
This 1064-nucleotide ribosomal RNA is filed under the name Escherichia coli. RNAcentral's name for it is "partial 23S ribosomal RNA". It matches the Rfam family "Bacterial large subunit ribosomal RNA", at positions 1 to 1106 of the family's 2925-position model. Lineage: Bacteria; Pseudomonadati; Pseudomonadota; Gammaproteobacteria; Enterobacterales; Enterobacteriaceae. The record is from RNAcentral.